CGCCGGUGGCGGAGAGGAUGUUCUGGUUGGAGAAGCCGACGUAGCAGAGGUCGUAGUAGACGGCGGCGUCCUUACCGUAGGGGCAGAGCUUCUGCGCGUCGUUGAAGCCGUUGGACACGCAGUUGCCGCAGGCGGAGGCGUUGGCGUCGCCGCGGCAGAGCGCGAGCGCGUAGACGAUGUCCGGAACGGUGCCGACGCUGUCGGCCGCGAAGAGCGUCCGCGAGGAGGAGGCGUUCUUGGGAAGGGUGGUGGAGAGGGCCCGGAUGUUUGCUUGGUAGGGGCUGUUCGUGGUGAAGUUGCCCUUAUUGCCGCAGUUCGGCCACUGGGAAGCGGCCAGCGGCGGGAGGAGGAAGGCAAGGAGGAGGGCAGCGGCGGUGGCGAGGUAGGAGGGGAUGCGGCCGCGGUGGUGCGAGGCCAUGGCGUUUGGCCGCUUGGGCGAGCCGACGAG
RNAcentral lists this ribosomal RNA (448 nucleotides) under Triticum aestivum (bread wheat). RNAcentral describes it as "partial small subunit ribosomal RNA". The record is from RNAcentral. Lineage: Eukaryota; Viridiplantae; Streptophyta; Magnoliopsida; Poales; Poaceae.